Long non-coding RNA from Brassica rapa (field mustard), 1063 nucleotides. RefSeq lists it as uncharacterized. The record is from RefSeq and is a predicted model, not a curated record. Lineage: Eukaryota; Viridiplantae; Streptophyta; Magnoliopsida; Brassicales; Brassicaceae.
CAGUCCAAGUGAAUCGGAUGCUUAGACAGGGUUGUGAAGUAUUUUUUUACCACAACUACAACUAUGGAGCACGGAAAUUCUGUUGAUCUGAAAGAUCUGUCUGAGGAUCCGUUGGUGUCUAAGUUCCCAGAUGUGUUCUGCUCGCUACAGGGUGUCCCCCCUGAUAGGUCGGAUCCAUUAAUGAUUGAACUGGAACCAGGGGCAGUUCUGCUGUCCUAGAGUCUGUUUCUGAUGGCUCCUACCGAGAUGGCCAAGCUGAAGUCGACCACGUCCGAGAGAGGACCAUGGUCACAGUACAACCAAGUCGGAGAUUGACCUAAGGUUGAGAAGAGAAUGAUCAAGUCCAGUAAGGGAUGAGGAUCAGGCCACGACCUAUUCAGAGAUGGACCUAUAGUCGGGGUGAAAUGGUCGAGUCCCUGAGUGGACCAGGACCGGAAUACGAUCACGUCCGUAAAUGGACCAGGAUCGAAUUAUGACAAAGUCCAAUGAAGGACAGAGGUCAAGUCUGAGGCGUUUUUAGUCUGGAGGGACUAAGAUCGCAAUGUGGCGAAGCCUGAAAAGGUUGUGGCUGGUUAAGGGGAUGAUCCAGUACGUUGUGGCUGAGGUCAUGAACCUUAUUGUCCAUAAAAGACAAAAGAACCAUAACAAUCUGUUAGGACUCGUUGUAGGACGAGCAGCCUAAAGAUUAGAACGAGUUCGUGAGGACUUGACUGGUACAUCGAGUGGCGUGGGGAUUGGCCAAAUCUACUAAGGCUCGAGUAUGCAGCAAGUUCCUAGGGACUUGUUAUGAUCUAGUCGUGGACUAUGAUCAGAGAUAGAAUAAAAUCUGAAGAAGAUGACAUUCAAAAGAAAGACAUAGACUUGUUGGAUACUAGGACCGCAACAUGGAGCGUUCGUCUAGUGACACAAGGAAUGUCUUUUGAUGGAAUUACAAGUAUCACUUGAAUGAAUGCUGGAUGGACCCUCCACUGUGGUCGAAGUACACCAGUAAGGGUGCCAUAAGCAAAACCAGAAGUACCCCUUGAUACGAUUGUUUGUGGUUAAAUCCUUAUCAAGUAAGGGA